AGCCCCGUGGCGCAAUCGGCAGCGCGUCGCAGUCCAAAUGCGAAGGUUGUCCGUUCGAAUCGGACCGGGGUUG
RNAcentral lists this transfer RNA (73 nucleotides) under Phycisphaerales bacterium. RNAcentral describes it as "tRNA-Trp". It matches the Rfam family "tRNA". Rfam says of the family: Transfer RNA (tRNA) molecules are approximately 80 nucleotides in length. Their secondary structure includes four short double-helical elements and three loops (D, anti-codon, and T loops). Further hydrogen bonds mediate the characteristic L-shaped molecular structure. tRNAs have two regions of fundamental functional importance: the anti-codon, which is responsible for specific mRNA codon recognition, and the 3' end, to which the tRNAs corresponding amino acid is attached (by aminoacyl-tRNA synthetases). tRNAs cope with the degeneracy of the genetic code in two manners: having more than one tRNA (with a specific anti-codon) for a particular amino acid; and 'wobble' base-pairing, i.e. permitting non-standard base-pairing at the 3rd anti-codon position. Lineage: Bacteria; Pseudomonadati; Planctomycetota; Phycisphaerae; Phycisphaerales. The record is from RNAcentral.